UCCGGCCGUCUGCGUGGCUUCAGGAAAGGUUGGCAAGGCAAGGCGCGCGCUCGGCCUCGCUCUUGCUGCCUUUGCGGGUGCCGGGCGAAGCGGAGGCCGCCUUGCGCGGGAAACCUUUGGGAGGGAAGAAAGGGAAAGAAAGCUGGAAUGGAGAGAGGAGGGAGCGGCCGAGUCGGGAUAGGUUGGAUUGGAAACGGCGCGCGCGCGCGCGCGCUCAAGGACUCGGGAGCGCGCGCCACAGGAUUUUUCUUUCUUUUUUUUUUUUUCUUUUUCUUUUUUUAAAAAAUUGCCUAGCAGACAAAAUAAUUUAAAGCUGCAGAAAAUUCUUCUGGCCCGUCAGAAUUCUCGCACAGCGGAUUUAUCUGGUCGUCUUUGAAGGUGGUCGGUAGUUUUGCUGCGCGGAGCAGUUUUUUGUUUCGUGUUUUUUUUUUGUUUUUUUUUGUUUUUAAGGAAGGCGAAAUCGUCACGAAUAAAAGAUUUGCAAAAUCCGGAGUUUGUAAUCGCUUGCAUUUGGAACUAAAGGAAGCUGCACAUGCCGUCUUUUAGGGCGCUACGGGUAAUCGGCGGUCGUCAAAAUUUGUAAUUCGGCGAAAUGCAUUUUUAAGCGGACGGGGUUUCGUGCAUUUACUAAAUCCGGCAACGAUCCACGUGAGGUUAUUAGUAUAAUUGUGUAUUGGGGAGUUUCGAGUGGGAGAGGUUUUAGUGCGGGGUAGGCUUUUUUUCCUCACUGCUGAGUUGAAGUCGUCUCUCCAUCCAUCCUUGAGCCAACAGACAACUAUGUUGGCAUCAAGUUUAUUGUCUGUGUGGUGGCCCCUUAAUCUGCCUCUGUUUCUAGGCUUUGCACUCACGACUUCUUUUCAAGGGAAUGAGGGACAAAGCCAAACGGAGUUUAUAUGGUCCCGGGGGGGGGGGUUUUGUAGUAUUUAAGCAACUCACUCACUCUGAACACCAGAUGAAAGCAAAAUAAAUGGAGACUCAGAAGAAGAGCAGCGGACUAAAGCGCUGUUAAAUAGCACUUAGUUGCCAGCUGCCUGCAAUUACUGCAAGUUCGAAUCUCACCAGGCUCAAGGUUGACUCGGCCUUCCAUCCUUCCGAGGGAACAUCAACUUUUUUAUUUGGCAAAUGAAGACAAAUAUAUGUGUCCCAGGAUAAUGUUGCAGGAUCCAAUCUGAGUUGGUUGCCGGGACCCAGAGGUAUUUUCCUCCAAGCUUUCAGAUUGAUGGAGCCCUUCCUUAGGUGUGCUCUCUGCUGGCAAGUUUUUCCAUUAGGCAUAGGAAAUUCUAUUAUCCUUGAAAGGCGCUAACAAGGUUGGAGGUGAAGAAGGAAGUAUGCGGUCUGAAGCUUUAGCAACAAAGAAAUGUGUUUUGAAGAAUUGCAUUUUGCUGUGUCAUACAUCAUUUUAAUAGCCUUCAGGAUUUAAGAAAUUUGCAGUGGAUAGCUGUGAAGUUUUGGCACUUUAAAAAACAAAUAUUUAUGGAC
Pantherophis guttatus is the source of this 1479-nucleotide long non-coding RNA. RefSeq lists it as uncharacterized. The record is from RefSeq and is a predicted model, not a curated record. NCBI's taxonomy places the organism in Eukaryota, Metazoa, Chordata, Lepidosauria, Squamata, Colubridae.